This is an RNA transcript of Syzygium oleosum, 2525 nucleotides long. It is a transcript of the gene named heterogeneous nuclear ribonucleoprotein 1-like, with no coding region annotated. The transcript has 6 exons. The record is from RefSeq and is a predicted model, not a curated record. NCBI's taxonomy places the organism in Eukaryota, Viridiplantae, Streptophyta, Magnoliopsida, Myrtales, Myrtaceae.
CUCUCAAGAAUCCUCCGAAUGUUCUUGCGCCAGAAGAUUGCCAGCUCUCUCUGUCUCUCUCUCUCUCGCUCUUUCUCUCUCUCUCUCUGUGCGAAACCAAAAAAUUGCAUUUUUAUAUUCAGAGGAGGAGAGAGUGGAAUAACCAAGAAAGAUAAAAGGAACAUCAUCACAGAGAGAGAGAGAGAGAGAGAGAGAGAGAGAGAGAGAGGGAUAGAAAGAGAAAAUGAGCUCUUCCUCUGUUUUCAUUACUGGGUGUUAUCUUGUUUAGAUCUUAGUUUCUUGCCCAAUUGGUCAUCUGGGUCCACACACAAUGGAGGAAUCUUCUAUUGUCUUGUCUUUGUGGAUGAAGAUCUGAUGCCCCAGCACUGAAUUCAAGGUCCGUCCAUCCGCUGCCCACCCCCAACUGGAGCAACCAAUCUGAUUCUGUCUGAAAACUUUCAGAAUUUAUCAGAAAAGAUGGAGUCAGAUCUUGGGAAGCUCUUCAUUGGAGGGAUUUCAUGGGACACGGAUGAAGAACGCCUUAAAGAAUACUUCGGGAGUUACGGUGAGGUGGUGGAGGCUAUGAUCAUGAGAGAUCGUGCAACCGGCCGAGCUCGCGGAUUCGGUUUCGUCGUCUUUGCGGAUCCCGCUGUUGCUGAAAGGGUGACCAGGGAUAAGCACUUGAUUGACGGUCGCUCGGUUGAAGCAAAGAAAGCUGUUCCUAGGGAGGAUCAGCAACUUCUUAAUAGGAGUUCAGCCAGCAUGAAUGGAUCUCCAAGUCCUGGACGUACCAAAAAAAUCUUUGUAGGUGGUUUACCAUCUACAAUCACAGAGAGCGACUUCAAGAAGUACUUUGAUCAGUUCGGUAAUAUUAUUGAUGUUGUAGUCAUGUACGACCACAAUACCCAAAGACCCAGAGGUUUUGGUUUCAUCACUUAUGAUUCAGAGGAUGCAGUGGACCGGGUUCUGUACCGCACCUUCCACGAUUUAAAUGGGAAAAUGGUUGAGGUCAAGAGGGCAGUUCCCAAAGAGCUCUCUCCGGGGCCCACCCGGAGCCCUCUCAUGGGAUAUAACUAUGGCGUGAACAGGGUCAAUGACCUACUCAAUGGCUAUGCUCAAGGGUAUUCUUUGAAUAGGUUCAAUCCUAUUGUCACAGCUCGAGGAGGGUUUCCUCCAUUUGGUGCUUCAGGUCAUGGAAUCAACAUGAAUCUGGACCCUGUUUUAAACCCGAAUUUAGGCAGUGGUUCCAACCUUGGCAAUGGCUCUGGAUAUGGGCGGACAUUUAGGCCAUACUACAUUGGCAAUGUAAGCAGGUUUGAUAAUCCCCUAGGCAAUAACACAGAUGGUCAAAUAAGUGGUUCUGUUUUAAGUCCCAGAAGUCGUGCUGUAUGGGGAAAUAGCGGCCUAAAUAGUGCAUUUAAUCCAAUAAAUUUGGGUACUCCCUUGGGCCGUGGAAGCGGAAGCUAUGGAGUUUCAUUUGGGCAGGCAGGAGCCGACUGGGACCCCUCUUGUUUUUCAGCUCAAGGCCGGAAUUUCAGUCAUGGGAAUGGAAAUGACAGUUAUGGACUGGAAGGAGAAGAAAACGUAAGAAGCAACGGCAACAGUAGGGCCUCAGCGUCAUCAUUCGCUGCCUCGACUGGCAGUUUCGAGGAGAGCUAUAGAGACAUGUAUUAUAGCGGCUCAACUUGGAGAUCUGCCAAUCCUGAGCUAGAUGGUUCUGGGUCCUUUGGUUUUGGUAUUACCAAUCUGGCUUCAGAUGUUACAGCUAAAGGUUCGGAAGGUUAUGGAAGUUACAGCAACACUAGUAGACAGCCGAAUAGAGAACUAUCCCCUCUUCUCUAACCCCACGAGAUCGUUUUGCAUGACUGGCAAGUGUACAAUUGAAGAGUGGCCUGACCGUGUUUUCAUAUAAAAUCACAGUAAUAAUCUGGAACAUCUGCUAAGGAAUUGCUGCUUAGGAGACUCUUUUUUUGCAAAUUCACAGGGUAGUCUUAGGCGAAGAUAAGGUCAAAGGUUGCAUUUCAUCCUCCAGUAUGUUCAUAUCUCAGCUUACAAGGAUGUCGAACUUAUAGUCGAGGGGAGUACAAAAUAUCAAGCUUAUAUGUCCAGAGAGAGUAUUAUAAGGGAUUUUUUUGGAGGUCUAAUAACUGAUUUUUGCCCCUACAUUAGACCUCAAAUCCCUUCAACAGCAACUCAUUGAAGUUAAAUCAAAUUGCAGAACUUAUACUCAAGAAGAUUGGUUCGGAUUAAAAAUCGGUGCAUCUCUUGGGAGACAAACCUGUUAUAGAGGAUAAAAAUACCAUGUUGGAUCUUUGUUUUGCUUUCUUUUUUUGGCAAUAUUACUGUGAUCCCAGGCAAUUAGCUGCUAAUUGCCUGCUCUAAUUUGUUUUCCCUGUGAUAGAUUGUAUGUGAGGUCUGGUUUGAUUUUCUAGUGUGGACCAAUGAGGGGUGCCCCUAAAAUCCCCAUUAAAUAAGCUACUCGAUACUCAAUUCGGUUAUCAAACUGUCCAUUAAUGAAAAAAAGUACACUUAGAUUGGUUUUCCAA